GUGACUGUACCUGGUAUUGAUUGUAUUGUUAGUUGUACAGUGCAACCGUAGACAGCCACAUCCGUCAACACAAAUGGCUCCUGCCUACAGGGUCUGUACAGUUGUCGCAUUUUCUGUGCAAUGACUCCAUACAUG
This is a non-coding RNA of Rattus norvegicus (Norway rat), 135 nucleotides long. The record is from Ensembl. Lineage: Eukaryota; Metazoa; Chordata; Mammalia; Rodentia; Muridae.